RNAcentral lists this unclassified non-coding RNA (335 nucleotides) under Hevea brasiliensis (rubber tree). Lineage: Eukaryota; Viridiplantae; Streptophyta; Magnoliopsida; Malpighiales; Euphorbiaceae. The record is from RNAcentral.
AGCUAGGAUCCAAAACUGAAAUGGGCUAAAGUGGAAUAAGGUACUGGUAGUCGAUGGCAGAGAAUAAGAACUUUAUUUAUAAUAGUUUCAUGGUGCAUUUUCGAGUUGUACAAUUUCAUGUUUUCUGAAAGCCAUGUAUCAAUUCAAGAGAUUUUGUUUGUCCUUUAGUUUCAACCUCCAAUGGAACAACAAUAUUCUAUGCCUAGAUAGAUUGUAACCACUUUCUUUUGGUUAUGGAAGUAGUUGAACUUGAACUUUUAUCUAAGCUUCAUUAGUCGAUAAAUAUUCAGUUGGAUACCUAGUUGUCAGAAGGUUAGCCAUAAGUUCUUCGAUGA